AUUACCUGGGGAUCUUGUUAAAAUGCAAAAUCAGACUCUGCAGAUCUGGGAUAGGGGUCCGAGAUUUUGCAUUUCUAACAAGCCCCCAUAUUAUGUCAA
Molecule: microRNA precursor, 99 nt
Filed under: Ailuropoda melanoleuca (giant panda)
Lineage: Eukaryota; Metazoa; Chordata; Mammalia; Carnivora; Ursidae
Description: mir-544 microRNA precursor family
Rfam family: mir-544 microRNA precursor family
Source: Rfam by way of RNAcentral